Molecule: ribosomal RNA, 468 nt
Filed under: uncultured bacterium
Lineage: Bacteria
Description: partial 16S ribosomal RNA
Rfam family: Bacterial small subunit ribosomal RNA
Source: RNAcentral
GACGAACGCUGGCGGCGUGCUUAACACAUGCAAGUCGAACGGAAAGGCCCUGCUUUUGUUGGGUUCUCGAGUGGCGAACGGGUGAGUAACACGUGAGUAACCUGCCCUUUACUUUCGGAUAACUUCAGGAAACUGGGGCUAAUACCGGAUAGGAGCUCCUGCUGCAUGGUGGGGGCUGGAAAGUUUCGGCGGUUGGGGAUGGACUCGCGGCUUAUCAGCUUGUUGGUGGGGUAGUGGCUUACCAAGGCUUUGACGGGUAGCCGGCCUGAGAGGGUGACCGGCCACAUUGGGACUGAGAUACGGCCCAGACUCCUACGGGAGGCAGCAGUGGGGAAUAUUGCACAAUGGGCGGAAGCCUGAUGCAGCAACGCCGCGUGCGGGAUGACGGCCUUCGGGUUGUAAACCGCUUUCGCCUGUGACGAAGCGUGAGUGACGGUAAUGGGUAAAGAAGCACCGGCUAACUACGUG